AGCAAUGAUUUUCGGUGUUUGCAUCGCAAUCUAAAUCUGACGUCAUUUUCCCAACUAUUCGACACGUGAUUGGCUAGAACGUUUCGUCGACGUCAGAUUUUAUCUUGUCACCAACAGCUGAUCGGGCACCUUGUUAUGAUAGAAGUCAGUGUCUUCAGUUCGACAACAACACGUUAAUAUAGAUGUGGGUUGGUUAUAUUUUGAGAUUGAUUUACAACUGGCACACAUAAGUUGACAGUUAAUGCAUAAAGAGUGUAGUUUCUAUAACAUCAAAUAUGAGGUCUAUACACAAUCAAUUUACAUGCAUGAAGAUAACUUGGAGGCAAUGGUGUCAUACAAGUUUAAUAGUUUUAACUAUGAUAGCCUUACUGAAAUUUGAAAAAAGUAAUCAAAGAAAAAGAGUGACAACUUCUGUCUUAUGAAGAUCAACCUAUAUACAAGGAAAUUGCCAGACAAUGUGUAACCAUGUAUGAGGAUAGCUUGAGAUAUAUACAUGAAAAGAAAGUGAAAUCAAUGUUUUUAAGAUAAAAUCUUGAUGACAUAUAACAAAAAUAUAACAGUGUUGAAUAUGAAAACCCCAUGGCAUGUCACAUGUAACUUUGGAAUGCAGCAGUUUUCAGUAUGACACUAAAAGGAAGGAUUUUAUUGCUGUUAAAACUGACUCGUGAACAUUGAAGACAGAGAAAUAAAGGUUUUACAUCAGAGGAAAUGACUGUGCACUUCUUUCUUGAAGGAUCAACACACAAAAGGAAAUGUUCAUAUCAUUAUGCAUCAUGUGCAGUAGUUGAGAUAAUUUUGGAUAUACAUAAAACUGUGAACUAAGUGAUAAUUAUAAUUCAAACAUCAUAUGUGGUACCUGCAUGUACUUACUGGUAUAUAUAUUGUAAUUCACAACAUGUUACAUGAAUAUAUAGGAAUAUUCUUUGCAUGAUACAUGUGAAAUAAAAAAAAAACACAAGUAAAGGAAUAAGGAUUUAUCUAGUACAUCAUUAUCAUAUGAAAACCAGCAGAAUGAUAUAUGUCUACAUUUAUUAUGGAUCAUGGAAACCUACAAGGAAGUAUAUAUUGUGUGCAUUGUUAUAUCAGAAUUAUCAGUUUUAAUUCAAUGUGACAUGUGCAAUGCUUUUUGUUUUAAUUUUGAGAAAACUUUUUGAAAUGAAUGAAAAAUUAUAAGUUUCUUUGAUUUUGAAACCUUUGAAAUAUCAAUAGUCAUACUUGUAUGUAAUAGGCAGAUAAUACUCAUACUGAACUCAAUGCUUUCACAUGCUUAAACCUUUAUUGAAUAAACAAAUAGUUUUAUCUCAAGGAAAUUUCUUUUUUUAAUGUUUUUUUUAAUUUACUGUUUUGUACUGGAAAAACUGCAAUGAAUGAGUGAUGCAUGUUCAAAAAAUGAACAUAGCUCUAGAAAUUAUUGCUUAUAGCUGAUAUAGUUUAAAAAAGACCCAUUCACACAUGUGAUGUGACAGUAACUGAUCC
Long non-coding RNA from Mytilus trossulus (common blue mussel), 1476 nucleotides. RefSeq lists it as uncharacterized. Lineage: Eukaryota; Metazoa; Mollusca; Bivalvia; Mytilida; Mytilidae. The transcript is spliced from 3 exons. The record is from RefSeq and is a predicted model, not a curated record.